This 453-nucleotide ribosomal RNA is filed under the name uncultured Porphyromonadaceae bacterium. Its description in RNAcentral is "partial 16S ribosomal RNA". It matches the Rfam family "Bacterial small subunit ribosomal RNA", at positions 341 to 792 of the family's 1533-position model. Lineage: Bacteria; Pseudomonadati; Bacteroidota; Bacteroidia; Bacteroidales; Porphyromonadaceae. The record is from RNAcentral.
ACGGAAGGCAGCAGUGAGGAAUAUUGGUCAAUGGGCGGAAGCCUGAACCAGCCAAGUCGCGUGAAGGAUGAAGGUAUUAUGUAUUGUAAACUUCUUUAGACGUAGAGAAAUAAGGGGAUCGUGAUCCCUGAUGCUAGUAUACGUAGAAUAAGGAUCGGCUAACUCCGUGCCAGCAGCCGCGGUAAUACGGAGGAUCCGAGCGUUAUCCGGAUUUAUUGGGUUUAAAGGGUGCGCAGGCGGCUUUUUAAGUCAGUGGUUAAAUCGUGGAGCUUAACUCCAUCCCGCCAUUGAUACUGGAGAGCUUGAUUGCGGUUGAGGUUGGCGGAAUUCGCCGUGUAGCGGUGAAAUGCGUAGAUAUGGCGAAGAACUCCGAUUGCGUAGGCAGCUGACCAAGCCGUAAAUGACGCUCAUGCACGAAAGUGCGGGGAUCGAACAGGAUUAGAUACCCUGGUA